Molecule: RNA transcript, 3549 nt
Organism: Gopherus flavomarginatus (Mexican gopher tortoise)
Lineage: Eukaryota; Metazoa; Chordata; Testudines; Testudinidae
Gene: PEX5L
Gene name: peroxisomal biogenesis factor 5 like
Exons: 15
Source: RefSeq, a predicted model, not a curated record
ACGUCUCGGCUUCGGCCCAGAGGGAUCCGAACCAGGCAAAGCAGAAUGUACCAAGGACACAUGCAGGGGAAAGGCUCUAGGGCGGCAGAUAAGGCUGUUGCCAUGGUGAUGAAGGAACUACCGAGGGAGGAGUCUGCAGAGGAAAAGCCCCUCCUUACUAUGACAUCACAGCUGGUGAAUGAGCAACAAGAAAGCAGACCCCUCUUGAGCCCCUCCAUUGAUGACUUUCUCUGUGAAACCAAACCAGAAGCCAUUGCCAGGCCAGUAACAUCAAAUACAGCUGUAUUAUCAACUGGUCUGGAUCUCUUGGAUCUGAGUGAACCUGUCUUACAAACCCAAAGCAAGACAAAGAAGUCAGAGAAUGCAUCAAGAGGUGAAAACUUAAAGGCUUCAACCCACAGAAAGAAGACAGACAACUCAGACCUUAUAAAUGUGGAUGCUGAGCAGAAGGUCCAGAGUGGGAGAGCACCAGAGAAAUCAUCAUUAGAUUUAGUAAAUAUUCAGACACAGCUCGAGAAAUGGGAUGAAGUGAAGUUUCAUGGAGAGAGGAACUCCAAGGGUCAUUCAGCUACAGAACGAAAAUCUUCAUCAUCUAGAGCUCCAUCAAAAGAGCUUUUAUGGUCUACAGAGAACAGGUUGCAGUCUGAGCUGACUAGUGUCAAAAGUGCUUUGGAGUCCAAUUCAGCAUCAGAUUUAGAAUUAGUACCUGCAACACAGGCACGAUCAACCAAAGAGCAGCGUUGGGGAGGUUCAUUCCUCUCCAGAAAUCACUCCUUGGAGGAGGAAUUUGAAAGAGCAAAGGCAGCUGUUGAGUCAGACACAGAGUUUUGGGAUAAGAUGCAAGCUGAAUGGGAAGAAAUGGCUCAGAGAAACUGGAUUUCAGAGAACCAAGAAGCACAUGGCCAAGUAACUAUCUCAACCAGUGAGAAGGGCUAUUAUUUUCAUACCGAAAACCCUUUCAGAGACUGGCCUGGUGCGUUUGAGGAAGGAUUGAAAAAACUGAAAGAAGGAGACCUGCCCCUCACUAUCUUAUACAUGGAGGCUGCCAUUCUACAAGACCCCGGUGAUGCAGAGGCCUGGCAGUUUCUUGGUAUAACACAGGCAGAGAAUGAAAAUGAGCAAGGAGCUAUUGUCGCCCUCCAAAGGUGCUUGCAGCUACAGCCAAACAAUUUAAAAGCUCUGAUGGCCUUGGCUGUGAGCUACACUAAUACUGGCCAUCAACAGGAAGCUUGUGAAGCUUUAAGAAACUGGAUAAAGCAAAACCCAAAAUACAAGUAUAUAGUGAAGAGCAAAAGAGGGUCUCCAGCACCUACCAGGAGAAAGUCUGAGCCAUCAAAAGAAAGUUCAUUACUCGAAGAAGUAAAGGAAGUGUACCUAGAGGCAGCUCACCAGAAUGGUGAGAUGAUAGACCCUGACUUACAAACAGGACUUGGAGUGCUUUUCCAUCUGAACAGAGAAUUUAACAACGCAAUAGACGCAUUUAAUGCUGCCUUAACUGUUCGGCCAGAGGACUAUUCAUUAUGGAACCGCCUUGGAGCAACCUUGGCAAAUGGGGAUCGAAGUGAGGAAGCUGUGGAGGCAUAUACUAGAGCUUUAGAAAUUCAGCCAGGCUUCAUUAGGUCCAGAUACAAUUUGGGAAUAAGCUGCAUCAACCUAGGAGCUUACAGAGAGGCUGUCAGCAAUUUUCUCACUGCUCUCAGCUUGCAAAGAAAAAGCAGGAAUCAACAACAGGUUACCCAGCCGGAAAUUUCAGGCAAUAUCUGGGCAGCUCUCAGAAUCGCUCUGUCUAUGAUGGACCAGCCAGAACUAUUUCAAGCCGCUAAUUUGGGUGAUCUGGAUGUUCUGUUAAGAGCUUUUAACCUAGAACCAUAAAAAAAAAAGCAGCCAAGUCACUAAGAUGUAUUAGGAAAUGCAAAACUCUUUCAUUACCAGUUUCAAAAUGACCAAGGACACUUUCCAAAAGAUCGUGAGCCGUAGAACACUAUGGGAAGUUCUACCAGACAUCACUCAAUUCCUGGAACUCUUCAAAAGCACAAAACUUUGUAAAUACUAUUGAACUCGAAGGAUUAAAAUGAACAGCAGCUAAUCUGACAAAGACCUGACCUAGAUGAAGCAGUCAUACCCGAAGAACCCAUCCCGUGCAAGAUAUGCACAUAUAUACACUCACACCUAUACAGAAAAAAUAUAUUUAAGAGAAAACCUAAUAAUCAUUGUUGCACAUUAGAGUGGGAAGCAGCACAUCAAAGGAACCUUAUUGCUCACUGCACUGAAUUGACACCACACGCCCCUACAAUGUGGAGUCCCUAUACUUUGUUUGUUGGCCACUCUCUUCAAGGUCCUACUUCCACAUAGCUCUGCCAGGAGGCAUAUAUUGGGGACAGAGAGCUCUCCGGGAAAACAUUCUAGAAGAGAUGCAAGUUAGUUACCUUCUUGGUUAGUUGAUCAAUAUGGACAAUAUGAAAAAAGAACAUGUGACAACAUUAAAAAGGAGGAAGAUUACAGGGUCUGAACACAGAAUAGCAAUAACUGCUGGGGGAGAGGGGAUGGAGGAAGAAUCAGAAGGAAUCUAAAUUUUACUAAGGUAGGCCCUGAUCCUGCAAAAGCUCUCACAUGUAAGCAGUCCCAUUGAGCAAGAUUGCCAGGUGAGGACCUUCAUAUGCUUUGAUCUCCCCCACCCUCGCUCCCCACCCCUUUUGCAGAAUUUGUUGUUUACCUUGGCAGAAAAAUAUCCUUAAGUUAGCAGCCUUUUUAAUAUCAUCAGUACUCUAUUGUAAAUUUAGAAAAAUCAAAAUGUUUAUAUUUAUAUAUAUCUGAGUACAACAUAUCUAGACUAAACUAAAAAUACAUUGUUUUGAAAGACAUUCUGUGCUGUUUCUGCCAUGUGCUGCAUACUGUUUUUAAAAAAGUCCUUACAUCUUGCACCAGGUUUUAGCUUUAUUUUUAAGCCAAUUUACGGCAGACAGGAAAGAAGAGAUUAUAAGAUCUGUGCAUAGUUACACCUGGACAACCACAAUGACUUCACAAAUGCCAUGAUCCAGCAAAGGCUUACAUGCAUACUCAACUUUAUACACUGGUAACCCAUGGUUAAGUACACAUGUAAGCCUUAGAAGGAUCAGGGGCCUAAGGAUGCAAAGGUGUGAACUAAAGCCGAAUUUAACCCUGUAUUUGAAUAUUUACAUUCUGUUUCAAAUCGACCCAGACUGAGCAAUCUGAAUCUAUAUAUAACUAUGGGGUGAGAGGUUAGUCUCUCACAAUAGGUAACUUUGCCUCUGUAUACUCAGUGCAUUACUAGCCGCGAAUAAAUAUUAAAACACAGAGCUGCAGUUUACUGAUGCUUCAGUUUGAUGUUCUCUUGCACUGCUCUUUAAAAUAAACCACUUCCUUACAAAUGAAUUGUAUGUAUAUUGAUGUGUUAAGCGUAUAGAUUUCAAUUUGCAGAGCACCAGUUAAUGUAGUAUUUUUGUACUGUAUUGGAAGCAUGCCUUCCUGUGAUUCUUUUUCACAUAUUAAAUUGUAUUUAUAACUGUGCAAUUUUUAAAUGUUUUAAAA